Non-coding RNA from Sus scrofa (pig), 3842 nucleotides. The record is from RefSeq and is a predicted model, not a curated record. Lineage: Eukaryota; Metazoa; Chordata; Mammalia; Artiodactyla; Suidae.
UGCCUUCUGGGAAGUAGAUUUAAGGUUUGUUUUUCCGUUUCCUCACUUGGCGCUUGACGGCCUUGGGAUUAGACCGCUUUGCUGCCAACCUCGGUAUCUCAGCCUUCUGGCUUGCUGUGCCUAGGAAAAAUGAACCUGAUAAGAAAAGGGCAGGCCUUCUUGGUGACGUCCCAGUUCUUGGCCUUGUGAGCCUCUUCCUGGGGUUUCUCAUGAUGUGGCAGCUGGCUUCCCUCAGACUGUGUGACACAAGACAGAGCAUGACCAAGCUGGAAGCAGGGCGUCUUCUACAAUCUGACGGUGGAGGUGAUGUGCCAUCACUCUCCUGUAUUCUGUUGGUCAGCAUGGGAAGGACUCUACAGCAGUGUGAACACCAGGAGGCUGUCUGGGAACCAUCUUGGAGGAGCGACCACGUUAGAUUUGAUGAGCUUAAAGGACCUCCAAGCGUGGGGAAUAUUCAACAAACAGUUCAACACAUGGACAACAUAUAUAUUCUACAAAGCUGGACAAUAAAAACAAUCUAAUUCAAUGUUUGUUUUAGUAGCAAAAUAUAAGCAUUGUCAUAAAAUAUAUGAAGUAAUAUAGAAGUAACUUUAUAGCUAAUUUAUGCAUAAGGUCCUGAUAAUGUCUAAAAGUGGUAACAUCAAUUCAAAUAAUGGAAUUGUCAUAAUGGUUUGGUUAUAUGGAAAAAUUCUAUUAACAUUUUUUUUGGUCACCACUGAUGAUCUUGUAUUAGAUUUAUGUUUAACAGUGAUUAAGUGCCAUGAUGUGUUUCUAGCAGAAUAGAAUAAUGGCUCAGAUUGUCCCCCCGACCCCCGUGAUCUUAUAAUCUUGCCUUAUGCACAUGAAUUUUCUGCUUUAUUUCUUUAGUAUAAACUGCAGAAUAGUUUGCAUUAUUAUUGCUCAUAAAUUCUGCCCAGAUGAGAUUAGUUUUAUAGAUGUAGGAUCAAUAAUACUUGAACACAUUUGCAGCUGUGUACUGCCCAAUAUUGCUCAUUAAUGGCUUUAAAAGAAUCAGUGCAUUUUGCUAGAAGCAAAGAUAAUGAGCCAUUGAUUAUCCUUGCAUAGCACAAUUUACGGCCUAUUUUAUUUUUAAUGCAACGUUAAAUUAAUUUAUAAAAGAUCAGAAGCAUUGCUUUAUUUCCAAGCUCUGAUUAAACACUUAUUGAACUUUUCAUAGAGAGCAUUAAUCAAUUCUCAUCUUUUCUGAUCUCCCAGAGUGCUUUGGAAAUAAAGAUGAAUAGCUUGUGAUCACCUGCACUGCUUGUGAGCCAGCAAACCCAGAGAAAACAUCCUUAUGGGACCCAGCUCUAUGAGAUGGGAUAUGUCAGGAAGUGUCCUAGUCUGUGACAUUUUUUCUCAAGAUCAGAUUGUGGAUAUAUUCUGGAUCACUGAGCAGGGAUGGAAGUUUUACUAGAGUGUUAAGCGAAAGCACCUGGAAGAGUAUAAAGAUACAGAGUGUAAGGCAUACAUAAUCUAUACUGUUUUGCUUUGGAUGGGUGUGGCAUUUGUCUAUGGUCACCUACCCUUAUACUUCAGAGUAACUUUCUGAAUAAACCUCUAAGAUCACUUUUUAAAAAUUAACAUACUUUGUUAUCUUUAUAUACCCCUUCCUUAGCACUUCUUAGCAAUCUUCGUUAUUCGCCAGGGCUGGCUGAAUUGGAUACGAGUUGUUCAUAAGGACUAACAACAUUGUGGUCAAGUGCCGAGGCCACUAGAAUAGUCCUCAGAGUCACUGACUUCAGAAGCAAAGGACUGAUUGCUAUUAUCAGUAAUUGAUAGUAGAGCAUUUGGAAGAUAACAGGAAAAUGAGGUGAAUAGAGUCAAAGACGAUGAUAUAUGUAUGAAUUUUUAUGCCCUGGUCUUCAAUUAGAUGGUAGUGGAUCUCUGACAGGGAAGCUAAGACUCUUCUCUCUGGAGUGAACAGAAGGUAGGGCUUCUUUCAUCUCAGUGAGAGGAACAAGUUUAGAGGGACCAAGAAUAGCAGGGGACUUAUCUAUUCUGUGAAGGGCAAGUUCAAGAAUGGUUGGGGUGAAAAACCUACCUUUUAGGGGUUGGAAGGUCCAAACAGAGCUUAGUCCAAAAGGUAGUGUGAGUCAGGCAUACAUUUGCAGUUAGGGGGCAUAGAAAGAGGCAGUGGGGGUCCACACUGCUGGGCAAAGUUCAGGAACUGAGGAUCCAAAGAUAAGUCACUCUCAGAAGCCCAAGAGGACAGUUAGGUGUGGAUCGGAAUCCUUAGAUCACCAUUUCUCCCUGUCUCUAUGUAAUAGCAGUCCUGCUUAAAGUUAAAAUGGAUGUGGUGGUGACGGUCACUCCACAUCAGGUAAUUUCUACACCUGCUUCUGGAGGUCUGACUUGUUGAGCUAGAUAACAGGGAUGUAGGGGGAAUGAAGGGCCUAGAGGUGAGCCCUGGUUUGUGAGAUGUCUUCAAAUGAUGCUAAAGAGCAUGGAUGCAAGCUUGCUGUGUCUGGACCUGUAAAGAGGUGGGUUGGCAGUGCUCUGGAGAUGCUGUUUGAUGGUUGAUGGAAGGCUCACCUCCAAAAUGGCUAUGGAUUGACCUGCUGUCUUGUUUGGUAUUUUCAGACCUGUUUUCUUUUCUUCCCCUCCCUAAGGGGUAUUUAAUGCUUAUAUGAUUGCCUGUGAUAGAUAGCUUGCUUGAGUAAAAGUUCUUGAUCUUGCUGUUGACAUGCUUGAGUUUAUCAGGGCCCAAGGCACAGAGAGGCGGGACACAAAACAGAUCUACUUUUUGUAGAGUUGGCAUGAAAAAGACAAGGAUCAGGGAUUCUGAUACCUACAGAUUGCAGGGCUGGAUUAGGGGCCAUGACGGGGCUGACAGCUGGGGAACUGAAAGGUUGUUGGUACUUUGGGAAGUGGGAAACAUUCAAAUCAAGGAAAGCAGGAAUUCAGCAAAAGCCAAAGGCACCUGCCUCAGAAUAUUGUCCAAGACCAACCAGUUCUGUACAGCAAUAAUUCAUGAGGUUAAGCAAGUUUUAUUAAUAAAGAUGAAUCAUUGUGUGUGUGUGGGGAGAUGUUAAGGUACAUGGCAAAUGCAUAAAUGAUAUUAGACUGAAAUCUACAAAUGGCAGGGCAUAAUGAACAGAGAGAGAUGACCUACGGGGAAGAUGAGGACUCUUGGGGUAGGGACACUGAAUCAUAAACCUGUAGCGUCUGAAAGAAAGGAAACACAUAAUUACAUAAUUAGACACUAAAAGGGAAAUGAGUGGGAAAGUUAACAGGAUUCAUAUGUUAAAAGGAUAUAAUGGUGCUCAUAGUAGUCUCAAAGUGUCAGAAGCCUGCUCCACCUAUGCCUCAGCUGUCCACAUUGCCUGUGGUCAAAUGACAGAGCUGUCUUAAGGAAGACUCAUUUCUGCAACCACAUGGCCUUUCUAAAAAUAGAAUUCAUUUCUUUCUACCAUGUGACAUUCAUCUAAGCAUUUCUGUGGGCUGUAAAGGAUUCAUAAAAUUCUUGAUUCUGGCAUAUUUUUAGCUUCAUUUGGAAUCAGAUUAUUGUUUGAACUACUGCGGAGCUUUGCAUAGGAUUUUGAUUUAUUUGUCUUCUACCUUAACUGAAAUAAACUUUGUAUUAGACUUUUGCUCAAGGUAGCUGAAUUAAUUCUGCUUUAAUUCAAGUUCAUCUCCACAGUGGAAAAUGACAGGCAUUAUUGAGUUCUGUUACACAUUUAAUAAGGAAUGUAUACUUCUCAUCCUUGUGGGAGCAAUUUAAUACACUGCUGAGCCUGUCAAAAUUCAAUUCAAGGUUGAAUGACUAAUGCAUAAAAGUCAAUUCUGUAUCCUAUCAGAGAUAAAGCCAGUUAUUUCUUUUUAUCAAGUAGAUAGGGGUGCUA